AUCUCAUUGGCCAGCAACCCAGUCCGUUUCCUGAAGGGGCGGGGAGAGCAUGGUCGCGUUACCGGGGCAACGGCCGCGCCGGGCAUGGCUGCGGGGCGGCACCCGCGAGCCGGGAACCCCCAGGGCGGUCGCAGGUGCUGCCAGCAGCCGGCGAUGCCGUGGGUCAGGCUGCUCCGUGGGCAGAGGGAGGAGCUUUUGUGCUCCCGGGUCGAUCUCCCGGCUGCUGGUGCCUCAGCUGCAGCUCCCGAGUGACGCUCCUGCGGUUCCGCUGCUGCGCGGACAGAGUCGUGGGAAAGGCCGGUGCAGCUGCCGCGGCUUGUGCUGAAAAUGCUGGGAGAGACAAAGCCCGUCGUGGUGAAGAGAGACCUUUACACAGACCCCGCGUUUCCCGCCAGCGACACCUCUCUGUUCUUUGACUGUUGCACCCCACUUGCCCAGUUCAGAGGCCAGAUAUCUUGGCUGAGACCGAAGUGGUUACAGAUGAGAGAAGAACCAUUUUAAAGACUGACUUUCAGAUCUGUUUAAUUGUUUAGGACCUUGCGUUUAAAAUCACCUCUUUUGCUACCAAGUGAUUUAUUUUUAUUUGCCUGUGCUAAUUUUGGAGGUUUUUUGUAACUCGGGACGUGCAGUGCCAUGUGAGUGGCAUCAGUUCUCUCUGUCACAGCUGAUCAAAUGUCUGGCAAGGAGCUGGUGAAUUAUGUUUCUUGCACUUAUUGGUGCCUCUGCUAAGGUCGCAUCUGGUGGUGACAUUUAUGUACUAAAAUCCAUGUGGGAACUGGAUUUACCUCACAUAAAGUACCUGCAAAAAUAGCCAUAAGGCAGUAAUUGGUUACUGCUUGCUUAGGCUGGUUCUGAAAUGUCCAGAAGGUAAAAAUUCCCUGAUUUUGGGAGAGGUCUCUGGAGCUCUCCUAUUCCCUGGCACACAGACCUUCAACGAUCGUGCAGGAUUUGGCUGUAGCUCUCCUUGGAGUUGGUUGUGGUUGCCAGCAGAGGGCAGAAUGAGACUUUAAAUAUGAAGAGAUUUAUUCAGCUGUAGAUCUGUGGAGCAGAAAUAGUGAAGCAGCAAUGGCACGUUAAAGCUUCUCUGUAAGUUUGAAAGGUGCUUUUCUUGUUUGUUUCUGUAGAGUCUUACUGUUCUAUUUUGCCUGAUCAUUCUAGUAUAGUCUUGAUUUCUUCUGCUCUGCUGCAUCAGGUAGGGCAGGCUCUUGAUUUGCUGAAGUUGUUGAAGGACGUGCUGCUCUGUUUGCGCAGUGUGGAAUGAUGACACAACAAGAGGAAACACUGAGUGAUAAAUCUGUAUUGUGCCUGUUUUAACAAAUGUUGGCAUAUUCAUUUAUUUUCUACUUUUCUUGAAAGGCUGUUCCUUUCCCUUCAAAUAGGAAAUUAUUUGAUUAUUAUAAUGAUGCUUCAAAGCAGAAAAAGGAAAGGUUUGUGAAAGCACCUGGGUCCAAGAGUUGUGAUAAAACAGGAACAGAUAGGGAGGGAGUAAAGAAAAAAGGUGUCAGGAUUUCUAAAUGGACUAUAAGAGGCCUCAUUAUGUAAUAAUUAAUGCAUGUGUAAAAGUCUGUACUGCAAUAUAUAAUUCUUCAAGGGACUGUGAAAGGAAUAGGAGUUAAAACUGCAUAUACCUUGGUACCUUCUCCAAAGGAUGUAAGAAAAGACCUUCUGUGAACACAGAGGAAUUUUUUUAAUUUGGACUUUAAUUUGGACUUUGGAACAGUUGUGCCAUUUGAAGAGUGUGAUACCUGACCGAGCGAAUAUGCAGGAAACUUUUGCUUGAUACAGAUUACUUCUCUAAAAUCCUAAAUCCUCUGAGUGUGAAAAUAUGGAACAUAUUAUUAUGUAUGUGCCUAAGAUGUGAUGAUAUGAGCUUUUGCAAGGACACCUAUUUUAAUUUUAAAAAGCUCAACUGUAUGAGGUCAGACCUCCUAAAUCAAAGCACGCUACGUUAAUUUGCUACACUGAGCUACCUAUAUUUGAAUGCAAUUAAGACAGUGAUACGUGUUUUUCAAAUAUCUGCAAUUACUGACUAGUCAAAGCCCCCCUGCCCUGCAGUGAGUUGCAGACUGGCGUGGCACAGCACAGAGUUGAUAUGGAUGUGGCUGCAGUAUUGCACCCAAAACAUAAUCCAGACCGAUUUCCUUCGCUCCUUCGGGGAGCUGGAACGUGAAUGCCCGAAGCAGGUUGGUAAAGAAGAUGAACAGUUCGACCCGCGCCAUCUGCUCCCCCAGACACACGCGGUGGCCUGCAGAAGAAAAGGGAGACGUUGUAUAAAGCCAAGUUCUGAAAAGUAACUUCAAACAAAAUUCUACUGAGUUCCAUCAAUUCUGUUACUGUAAGGUAAUUAUUUCUCAUUUCCUCCUGCAAGGACAGAAGGUGCCUUUGGAGGUAGGGGAAGCAUUUCUUUAACUGAGAAUCCGUAUACUUCUAAUUAUGUCUACUGUUGGGGUUGGUUGGUUGUGGGGUUUUUUCCCCCACUUUCCCUGGAGCGCAUAUGAGAUUCUUUCUUUUCAUUUUUGUUCUUGUUCUGUGUGUCACGUUCUGGAGAUGUCACAGUAUCACAGUAUGUUUGGGAUUGGAAGGGACCUCAAAAGAUCAUCUAGUCCAAUCCCCUGCUGGAGCAGGAACGCCUGGGUGAGGUCACACAGGAACACGUCCAGGCGCGUAAAUGUAAAUGCUCAGAUCAUAUAAACAGAAAACAACCAGAGCAAGUUAAAAAAUGUUCAAUGCCUGGGUUGAAGCAGUAGCCUAAAUUAGUUGUUGAUUCAUGUAAAUUAGUGGACGCUUGGUGAAGAAAGAAGACGCUAAGUACCUGUUUUGCAAAUAUGAUUUGGGAAUUUCCAGACAAUUUGGGCAAACGGUUUUAAAAUCUGCAUUUACUGGUUUUGACCUGACUGCUUUGUAUGUUACUUAGUAUACUAUUUUCUUUUUAUCUACAACAAAUGUACACUAUCGGUCAUAAAAAAACCCCACACUCA
Long non-coding RNA from Columba livia (rock pigeon), 2978 nucleotides. RefSeq lists it as uncharacterized. Lineage: Eukaryota; Metazoa; Chordata; Aves; Columbiformes; Columbidae. The record is from RefSeq and is a predicted model, not a curated record. The transcript has 3 exons.